Molecule: ribosomal RNA, 437 nt
Filed under: uncultured Oscillospiraceae bacterium
Lineage: Bacteria; Bacillati; Bacillota; Clostridia; Eubacteriales; Oscillospiraceae
Description: bacterial SSU rRNA
Rfam family: Bacterial small subunit ribosomal RNA
Source: RNAcentral
ACGGAAGGCAGCAGUGGGGAAUAUUGGGCAAUGGGCGAAAGCCUGACCCAGCAACGCCGCGUGAAGGAAGAAGGCCUUCGGGUUGUAAACUUCUUUUGUCAGGGACGAAGGACGUGACGGUACCUGACGAAUAAGCAACGGCUAACUACGUGCCAGCAGCCGCGGUAAUACGUAGGUUGCAAGCGUUGUCCGGAUUUACUGGGUGUAAAGGGCGUGUAGGCGGAGCUGCAAGUCAGAUGUGAAAUCCCGAGGCUCAACCCCGGAACUGCAUUUGAAACUGUAGCCCUUGAGUAUCGGAGAGGCAAGCGGAAUUCCUAGUGUAGCGGUGAAAUGCGUAGAUAUUAGGAGGAACACCAGUGGCGAAGGCGGCUUGCUGGACGACAACUGACGCUGAGGCGCGAAAGCGUGGGGAGCAAACAGGAUUAGAUACCCUGGUA